This 658-nucleotide long non-coding RNA is filed under the name Bos indicus x Bos taurus (hybrid cattle). Its description in RNAcentral is "lncRNA (ENSBIXG00005008324.1)". Lineage: Eukaryota; Metazoa; Chordata; Mammalia; Artiodactyla; Bovidae. The record is from RNAcentral.
UAGAACAAUGCUGGAAUACACAGAGCAGUUGUUCUGUAGAUACACCCAUUGUCUCUGUAACUGAAGUUCCAAGCAGAGCACUGUCACAAGCAUAUUUAUGACAUAAUCCUCCUGGUCCACACACAGAGAGUACUAUGAACCUAUCGUAUACCUUGUUGUUCUUUUUUGGCAUUAACUUUGCUCUUAUUUCUCAAUUGAUAAAGGGGUUGAUGGUUUCCUGGCUAGACAUGGUAGAUGUCUGAAUCCUGUAAGACAACUGGAACCAAUUUAUCACUGGGCAGAAGCAUCUUCUACUAAUGGAAAUGGCAGAUGUCCAGCCUACCCUUCCAGGAAUGGGAGAGUUCAUAUGGGAGGAGAAUCAUACCCUCAAAAAUUUCAAGAGGUGGAGAUCUGGCAUACUGAGAGAGGGGAUAAGAGAUUCUUCCAGGAAGUGAAAAAUAGUCUAUAUUUUGAUCAGGGUAAGAGGGAAGUUAUAAAAAUUCAUCAAGCUGUAUGUCUGAGAUUACAUUUUACCCAAGUUGCAUCUCAAUUUCUCAAAAGUGGGGAAAAUUUUUCCUCUUCAGAAAUACAGAACCAAAAACUGACCAUGAUGAGCCCAUAGUUGAUUUUAUGAUUUGUUCUGAAAAGCAAUUAAAUGUCUUACAUUUCCAAGAAAAAA